This is a non-coding RNA of Pelobates cultripes (western spadefoot toad), 590 nucleotides long. The record is from the annotation of a GenBank genome assembly. NCBI's taxonomy places the organism in Eukaryota, Metazoa, Chordata, Amphibia, Anura, Pelobatidae.
GGAAUAUGAAGUAGCAGAGGAGGUUGAUGAAUGGAGGAAUAUGAAGUAGCAGAGGAGGUUGGUGAAUGGAGGAAUAUGAAGUAGCAGAGGAGGUUGGUGAAUGGAGGAAUGUGAAGUAGCAGAGGAGGUUGAUGAAUGGAGGAAUAUGAAGUAGCAGAGGAGGUUGAUGAAUGAAGCAAUAUGAAGUAGCAGAGGAGGUUGAUGAAUGGAGGAAUGUGAAGUAGCAGAGGAGGUUGAUGAAUGGAGGAAUGUGAAGUAGCAGAGGAGGUUGAUGAAUGGAGGAAUGUGAAGUAGCAGAGGAGGUUGAUGAAUUAAGGAAUAUGAAGUAGCAGAGGAGGUUGCUGAAUGGAGGAAUAUGAAGUAGCAGAGGAGGUUGCUGAAUGAAGUAGGAAUAUGAAGUAGCAGAGGAGGUUGAUGAAUGAAGCAAUAUGAAGUAGCAGAGGUUGAUGAAUGGAGGAAUAUGAAGUAGCAGAGGAGGUUGAUGAAUGAAGCAAUAUGAAGUAGCAGAGGUUGAUGAAUGGAGGAAUAUGAAGUAGCAGAGGAGGUUGCUGAAUGGAGGAAUAUGAAGUAGCAGAGGAGGUUGAUGAAUG